RNAcentral lists this long non-coding RNA (975 nucleotides) under Pan paniscus (pygmy chimpanzee). RNAcentral describes it as "lncRNA (ENSPPAG00000044986.1)". The record is from RNAcentral. Lineage: Eukaryota; Metazoa; Chordata; Mammalia; Primates; Hominidae.
AACCCCAUUUAAGCUUUACUAGCUUUUCCAUUAAUGUCUUUUUUUUUUGGCUCCAGGAACUGAUUCAGAAUCCCAUAUCACAUUUUGUUAUUACUUUUGCCUGGUCUCCUGCUGUCUGGAACAGUUUUUCAGUCUUCCUUCAUUUUCAAGAGUGUGAAAGGAUCCCAAGACCAAAAGUCUGGGAACUGCUGGUUUAGAGUCACAAUACUGACUGCUCAAAAUGACUUUUUAAAGAAGAAAGCCUUAAAAACCCUUGAGUGAAUGGUUGGUAUUUACAGACAAGCAAAUGUAUGGAAGAAAAACAAGAGACCCAGCCUGAAUCUGUUGAAUGAACGAAAGGGGAAAUGCCCUAAGGAGUCAGAUGGAAGAAGUUUUUCUGGGAAGAGCAGAACACAGGAGUUGGGGUGCAGACCUCCUGGAUCACCAGCAGAAGGAAAAGAGCAGCGAGACGUUAAAGUGAUUGAGACAAAAAUGGAAGUAAAACAGCUUAAGGCUUUCUGAGAUCGAGUUCCUGGCAGUGUCAUCAGCAGAUGGUUUCUUCUGAAGUUCAGGGGAAGAGAAGAUGCUCGAAGAACUCUCCAGGGACUGAGUGGGUGGUACAGAGCUAGUGCUGUAGAUGCCACGUAUACAGGCAAAUUCCCCAAUGAGUGUUUUCCAAUAUCAAGUUUAACUGGCAUUUAAGAUAUAUGCCAAAGGUUUUUCCCAUGGUGUUCCCUUUCCAAUGUCUUUCUGGAAGUCACACAUUGACCACUAACAACAGGAGAGAGGACAAAGAAAGUCAGCAAGAGACUAUUUCCAAUGCGAAAUAUGAUCAGCUAACUCAACACUCUUUUCUUGGGCAUGUGGGGUGGGCAAAGGUGGGAUGCCCUUCUGAAGGGUGCAAAGAAGCUAGCUCAUCCUUUGGAAUGACACUUAAGCCUCCCAAGUUAUUUCUAUCUUGGAUAAUAAGAAUUCUGGUUUUGAAAUGAAUGGUUG